Molecule: ribosomal RNA, 468 nt
Filed under: uncultured bacterium
Lineage: Bacteria
Description: partial 16S ribosomal RNA
Rfam family: Bacterial small subunit ribosomal RNA
Source: RNAcentral
GACGAACGCUGGCGGCGUGCUUAACACAUGCAAGUCGAACGGAAAGGCCCUGCUUUUGUGGUGUGCUCGAGUGGCGAACGGGUGAGUAACACGUGAGUACCCUGCCCGUGACUUUGGGAUAACUUCAGGAAACUGGGGCUAUUACCCGAUCGGAGCUCCUGCUGCAUGGUGGGGGUUGGAAAGUUUCGGCGGUUGGGGAUGGACUCGCGGCUUAUGAGCUUGGUGGUGGGGUAGUGGCUUACCGAGGCUUUGACGGGUAGCCGGCCUGAGGGGGUGAACGGCGACAUGGGGACUGAGAGAGGGACCAGAGUCCUACGGGAGACAGCAGUGGGGAAUAUUGCACAAUGGGCGGAAGCCUGAUGCAGCAGCGCCGCGUGCGGGAUGCAGGCUUUCGGGUUGUAAACCGCUUUGGCCUGUGACGGAGCGUGAGUGACGGUAAUGGGUAAAUAAGCACCGGCUAACUACGUG